This 386-nucleotide ribosomal RNA is filed under the name uncultured Methanosarcinales archaeon. RNAcentral's name for it is "bacterial SSU rRNA". It matches the Rfam family "Archaeal small subunit ribosomal RNA", at positions 1 to 395 of the family's 1478-position model. Lineage: Archaea; Methanobacteriati; Methanobacteriota; Methanomicrobia; Methanosarcinales. The record is from RNAcentral.
CCCGGUUGAUCCUGCCAGAGGUUACUACUAUCGAGGUUCGACUAAGCCAUGCGAGUCGAAUGUAGCAAUACAUGGCGUACUGCUCAGUAACACGUGGACAACCUGCCCUUAGGACGGGUAUAAACCCGGGAAACUGGGUAUAAUCCCCGAUAGAUCUCGUCUGCUGGAAUGCAUCGAGAUCCAAAGCUCCGGCGCCUAAGGAUGGGUCUGCGGCCUAUCAGGUAGUAGUGGGUGUAGCGUACCUACUAGCCUACGACGGGUACGGGUUGUGAGAGCAAGAGCCCGGAGAUGGAUUCUGAGACACGAAUCCAGGCCCUACGGGUGCAGCAGGCGCGAAAACUUUACAAUGCUGGGAACAGCGAUAGGGAACCUCGAGUGCCAGGUUA